This 266-nucleotide ribosomal RNA is filed under the name uncultured bacterium. RNAcentral's name for it is "partial 16S ribosomal RNA". It matches the Rfam family "Bacterial small subunit ribosomal RNA", at positions 793 to 1055 of the family's 1533-position model. The record is from RNAcentral.
GUCCACGCUGUAAACGAUGGGUACUAGGCUUCGUGGGAGUUGACCCCUGCGGAGCCGGCGCUAACGCAAUAAGUACCCCGCCUGGGAAGUACGGUCGCAAGACUAAAACUCAAAGGAAUUGACGGGAGCCCGCACAAGCGGUGGAUUAUGUGGUUUAAUUCGAAGCAACGCGCAGAACCUUACCUAGGUUUGACAUCCUUUGACAAUUGCAGAGAUGCAACUUUCGUAGCAAUACGACAAAGAGACAGGUGCUGCAUGGCUGUCGU